This is a long non-coding RNA of Anguilla rostrata (American eel), 1681 nucleotides long. RefSeq lists it as uncharacterized. The transcript has 5 exons. The record is from RefSeq and is a predicted model, not a curated record. Lineage: Eukaryota; Metazoa; Chordata; Actinopteri; Anguilliformes; Anguillidae.
UACUGCUCUGCGACGCGAGGCCGCGGAGUGGUGCUCCAUCGAGACUGGGAACUGCACCCGGAGAGGACGCGCAUCAACACCUCACGCACACGACUGCUCUCAACGGGAGAACGAGGCUGUGGAGUGGGAAGAAUUAAACUGGUGGCCAGUUUGAAGAGGCGGUGAAGCUCUACCAAUCAGCAGGUGAUGCAGUUGGAGCUAUGGCAGGGUGUACAGUGGGACAGGGAGAGCCCUGGCAGUGGAGGCGCUGUGACCGUAAAGCCUGAGAAAGGAGGAGGCUGUGGAACCCGUGGAGGAGGCGCAGCAUGCCUGCACGCAGCCCUCUGGGACCUGAAACUGCAGGAGGACAAGGAGGAGCAGUAUCCGCUGGAAACACAGGAGAGCUGCUGGCCACGGGUCUUGACAUGUCAAGGUGAAACCAAACAACGGCAUUAAAGGACUUCAGUGCAGCUGCAGUGGAGCAGAACUCUGUGUUGCCCUGACCCUCCAGUGGCACCCACAGCUGGGCAGCAUUCACACUGCUUUCUGUGCAACUGGGUUCUGUUCCUGUCUAUGGAGCCCUCAACUUCUUUGUGUCAGCUCUGUGAAAACUGUGAUGCCUGGAUUCACUAAAAAAGACUGAAGUCCUGGAGCUGCCUGCCAGAGGGACUCCAUACAGACUAUACAUACUGCAAAGGAGGACCAAGGUUACAGGUGUCCAAGCAACUUAUCAUAUCCAGAAGACUGCACUACCACGGUGGAUCACCUUGGACUAAAGUGGACAAUAGGGUGAAUGAUAUGUCUGACAUCUCAGCCAGAUUGGGGACAAGACAUGCACAGAGGUGCUGUGACUUUCGCAUAGCAUCAUGUCCUGUAUUGUUUAUAUGACAUAAAGCGACAGAAAGUGAAUACAAAUGCACUGCGUUAGAGCUACCACUGCCAUUUCAUUCCAUUUUUGUUGUUUUUGAUGUUGGUUGGUUAAUUUUUGAUGGUGGUUGAUUAAUUGUUUUACUUUUUUACAUCAAGAAACCAGUUAGUUAGUCAGCUAACUUAAUUUUUAUACAUGUUUCCAUUUUACAACAUUUAUGUUUUGUUUCCAUUUUACAAAUCAUAAUAAAGUUGAAAUCAACAUUCUAAAUCUAGAAUCCGUAUUAACUCAACUGGUAUAUAAGUUAUUUGGAGUUAAAACAUAUUUUUUGUAUUUGGGAAUGUAUCUGAGAGUCACAUUUUGAAUACAUGUAUAUUUUCAGAUAAAAUAUGUUUUUUUUCUGUUUGGAAGAUGUUUGUGGUUAAGACUGUUAUGUGAAUAUGUGAUGGUAAGAUUAUGCUCUUAAAUGAUUGAAUAUGUGUUUGGGGAAAAAGCAUAUAAUGUUGUAUCUUUGCUUAGAUGUGUGUGGGUACGAAUAUUGUCUUAUUAUGUGAAUUGAUUCAUAUUUGGAAAUGGGUUUUUGCUGUACAAUGGGAUGGGUAUACAUCAUUCAAGAAACCUAAUGAAUAUUUGAGGGAAAGAAUACAAUCCAACAUGCUGUGACCUUUGUGAAUACUAGUGUAGAUUUGUAUUAGGUAAAUGUAAACAUUUAUCUUAACAGUGGAAUUGUUAUAACUCAAAAAUCUACCCAUGAACGCAUUACACUUGUAUCCUUUUAUAAAGUUUGCACAUUCAAAGUUGACUCAUGGCAAGAAUAAAGUAAGAUAUUAGGAA